Piliocolobus tephrosceles (Ugandan red Colobus) is the source of this 5367-nucleotide long non-coding RNA. Lineage: Eukaryota; Metazoa; Chordata; Mammalia; Primates; Cercopithecidae. The record is from Ensembl.
AGGGGCUGUGUGCGCUGAGGCUGCUGAGCGGCGGGUGAGACGCUGCCCUCCGCGGCUAGAAGUGCUCGGCUGCUGGCACCCGGGAGAUGAAGGUCCAGGGCGGGCCGGAGACGUAGGGGUCCGCGUCCCUGCCCCCAGGCCUGGCAGCUCCCCGCACUGUGGGCGCCCCGCAUCCCGAGCCCCCGCCAGGGCCUUCCUUGGGCUCCCUCAUCCGAGGCUCUGAGGCUGGAGGACCCCGGAGCUCCUGCGCCUCCUGGGGCUGGGGGCCGGGCCUGCCCGUGGCGCUCCUGGCGGGGCCCUCCAUUGGCGUGGGCUUUAAUGGGGGUAGUAAAUGGGGCCGGCGGUUGUGGUUCUCGCUGACGGCUUUGCUCCUAGUUCAUUGUUGUUGGAGGCCGAGUCGUUGAGAGACCCGAGGCGCCCACUGCCCGCUCUUAAAGUCCGGCUGUGUUCAGAGAACGGAAGCCUCCCGGAAUUUAACUGUUUUGGUUUUUUAAUGACUCAAUUUAUGGGGAAAAGACGAAGCGGUUUAGCGUUCAUGGUAAUCCACGAGCCCGUAUUUAAUGUAACAGUUCAGCGCUGCCGGCCCAGGCCAGGGGGAGACACGGGGCGUCCGUGGCAGACGGGAUCUUGCUCUGUUGCCCAGGCUGGUUUUGAACUCCUGGGCUCAAGUGAUUCCCCCUCCUCAGCCUCUCACACUGCUGGGCUUACAGGUGUAAGACAUCUCAUCCAGGUAAGAAUAAUUAGAAAAUAAGUAGGUUGGGCGCGAUGGCUCACACCGGUAACCGCAGCAUGUUGAGAGGCCAAGGUGGGCGGACCACUUGAGGUCAGGAGUUUAAGACCAGCCUGGCCAACAUGGUGAAACCCCGUCCCUACUAAAAAUACAAAAAUUAGCUGGGCGUGCUGGUGAGCACUUGUCCCAGCCACUCAGGAGGCUGAGGCAGGAGAAUUGCUUGAACCCAGGAGGUGGAGGUUGCAGUGAGCCGAGAUUGCACCACUGCACUCUAGCCUGGGCAACACAGGGAGACUCUUGUCUCCAAAAAAGAAAAAAAGUGUCCCCAUGACCAAGCUGAAGAUUUCCCCUAACUGCUCAUAACCCUCUCUCUCCCUCUUAGAUUACCACUGUCAUGACAUAGAGAAAUGUCCUUGCUUUUUAAAAAUAUUUUCCCAUCUCUAUGCAUUCUGACAGUAUCUUGUUACCUGUUUGAAUAAUACCUGUUUAGGAUAAUACUGUAUCGUGUGUAUCUUUUGUUUAACAUUAUGUGACCCGCAUCGUUGUUACAGCUGUAGGCCCUUUUAUUGGUAAGUUUUUUUUUUUUUUUAAUUGAAUGAUUAGUCCGCAGUUUAUCCAGUCGCUGUUACACCUCCAGGUGAGUUGAGUUUGGGACUGUCAGAGUUCGUGCUGACAAUCUUGUCCAUGAGUGCUGGGGCAGCAGUGUAACGUGUGGAGGAUAUAGACCAAGAGGUGAACGGAUUUCCAGUAUUCAGAUUUUUUUUUUUUUUUUUUUUUUUUUGACGCCCAGGCUGGAGUGUAGUGGCGUGAUCUCGGCCCCACUGCAACCUCCGCUUCCCAGGUUCAACGAUUCUCCUGCCUCAGCCUCCCUAGUAUCUGGGACUAUAGGCACCCGCCACCACACUUGGCUAAUUUUUGUAUUUUUAGUAGAGACUGGGUUUCACCAUAUUGGCCAGGCUGGUCUCAAACUUUUGACCUCAGGUGAUCCACCCACCUCGGCUUCCCUAACUGCUGGGAUUACAGGUGUGAGCCACCACGCCCUGCCUCUUCAGCUUUCUAAAGAAUGCCAAGUAUUUUCCAAAGUUGUUCCACUUUGUACUCCCUGUAGCAGUGUAUGAGAGCUCCUGCUAAUAUUAGGCUUUUUAAGUUUUCACCAAUUCGGUAGGCAUGUAAUGGGAUUUAACUAUAGUGUGAAUUUCUUCCAAUAUUUUGAAGGCUUGUGAGGGAAAGAAGCCCUUUUGUUUAAGAGUUUCUUAAGGGGAAUUUAAACCAUAAUUGUAUUAUAGUUAUUUUUGAACAUGUAUAAAGAAAAGGUUUCCAACACUGAAGCUUUAGUUAAGAUAAAAGGUCAUUAAAAUGGGAAGGACCUUACCAGAAAUUAGUUUUCUGGAAUGUGCAAGAUUUUGGAAGAUGCAGUAUUUAAUUUUUUUCUUUUUUUUUUUUCUUUUUUUUUUGAGACGGAGUCUUGCUCUGUCACCUGAGCUGGAGUGCAGUGGCCUGAUCUCAGCUCACUGCAAGCUCCGCCUCCCGGGUUUACGCCAUUCUCCUGCCUCAGCCUCCGGAGUAGCUGGGACUACAGGCGCCCGCCACCACGCCCGGCUAGUUUUUUGUAUUUUUAGUAGAGACGGGGUUUCAGCGUGUUAGCCAGGAUGGUCUUGAUCUCCUGACCUCGUGAUCCGCCCGUCUCGGCCUCCCAAAGUGCUGGGAUUACAGGCUUGAGCCACCGCGCCCGGCCUAAUUUUUUUCUAAUUAAUAAUCUUUAUCACAUGAGAGUAUUUUCACUAUGUGGCUGAAUAAUGUUAACCAGAUAAUUUUCCUGCAGCUCAUCUAACUUAGAUGACUUUUAAUCUAGACAUGCACACCACAGAGCGUGGCAGUGGAACAGUAACCGGGCUUGUGAGACGGCUCUACAGUAUCAACUAGGAGACAAGAUCCACGGAUUCACUGUAAACCAGGUAUGGGUCCUUCUCGGCACCUCCUUAUAAAUCCACAUACAUUGCAGGUGUGGCUUCUGGCAUAUGUACGGGCACUUCAGGGUGGAGACUAGCCUUGUCCUCGUGUCCCAAGGCCCUGGCCCAGCUCCUGUUGCAUGAUGGCUACUCGGCUGAACAGAGCUUGUGAGAGAAAUGACCCCCGGUCCCUUCCUGGAAUGUCGCGAAGCCUGAUUCUUGUCAGAUUUGAGAGAGUAACACUUCCAGCUGGGUCUCUGUCAUCAGACACGCUAGGGUUUCCGCAGCCAAACCUGAAGAUUCGCUGAGUGUGAGCACGAAGACUCAGUGCCCUGAUCUGUUCAGUCAGGUUUUGCCAUCAAAUAGUUUGCUCUAAACUUCUGCAGAAUCUUUCAGUUUUCUGAGCCUUUUGGGUUUCAAAAUUAUAAAGAAGAAAUUGUGGACUUAUACUUACUUGGGUUUAUAUUAAAAUGGAUUCAUUUGUUCUUUGUUUUGUUAUUUGCUUAAACUUUUUCCUUUUUUUUUUUUUUUUUUUUAAGCAUAGUAACUGAAAAUGACAACACUUCACAUAUUUGGCCAGCUGUUGGCUCUGUGCUAUGCUUGAUGUUACAGCAAAUUUAAAAGACACAACUUACCGUCUAGAAAGACUGAUGUGGCUGUGACUGGAGGCACAUGGUGGACGCCAUGCAGAGGGCCAAGGACAAGGGUGGGAGCUGCUGCUGCUGGGGGGAGAGGGAAGAGCUCCUGAAGAGGGUGGUGUGAGAAAGCAGCUGCCUCUGGGCAGGGACCAGGGGGUCCUGGUCAGUGCAGUGACCAGGGGGUCCCAGGCAAGGUCCAGGCAUGGGAGUCCUGACAGCAGACUCAGAGCAUUUUUGAAAUCCUGCAAAGGCCGGGCAAAGACACCUGGGUUUAUAGUACUGGUUACUAUUACUAAAGGCCUCACCCAGAGUGGUAGAUACUUCUUUAUUUUUCAAAUUUUAUAGAAAUGUACUUUUUUGAGAUUGGGACUCACCCUGUCGCCCAGACAGGAGUGCAGUGGCAUGAUCUUGGCUCACUGCAGCCUCAAACUCCUGGGCUCAAGCCAUCCUGUCACCUCAGUCCCCCAAAUAACUGGGACAAGGUGCCCCCAUGCCUGGCUCAUUGUGUGUGUGUGUGUGUGUGUGUGUGUGUGUAGGUGGAAACUUGCUUUGUUGUCUAGGCUGGUCUCAAACUCCUGGGUUCAAGCAAUCCUCUUGUCUUGUGUAUUAAUCUAAUCUCAUAUUGCUGUGAAGAAAUACCCAAGACUGGGUAAUUUAUAAAGAAUGAGCUAAAAAGUAAAGAGGUUUCAUUGACUCACAGUUCUGCAUGGCUGGGGAGGCCUCAGGAAACUUACAAUCGUGGUGGAAGGCACCUCUUCACAGGGUGGCAGGGAAGAAAAUGACAAGUGAAGGGGGCAGCCCCUUAUAAAACCCUCAGAUCUCCUGAGAACGUACUCACUGUCACGAGAAUAACAUGGGGGAACCCCCCUCAUGAUCAAUUACUCCUACCAGGUCCCUCCCACAACGUGUGAGGAUUAUGGGAACUACAAUUCAAGAUGAGAUUUGGGUGGGGACGCAGCCAAACCACAUCACCUUGGCCUUCCAAAAUGCUGGGAUUAAAGGUGUGAGCCACUGUAUCCAGCCAUAGAAACUUAUGAUAAGUCAUGUUUCCGGUUUGAGAAAUAGCUACCAUGAACGCUAUUAUUAUUAAAGCUAUGUAUUAUUAGAAAGCAGACAUCUCACUGUAUCUGCUGAUUUUAAAUGCAUUGAUCAUCUGUUACAAAGCACGGUAAGCUUGGAAACAAGUAAUUUAACAGCGGUAGAUGAUGCAGGUCGUAGUGGGCCACUUAUGCAUGACUGUUGGAUGGCAGGCUCCCUAGAUUGGGCUGAGGAGACCCGAGGUCUCACCUCUGCCAGCGACUUGCUGUGUGUACUUGGUCAGGUGACUCAUGGCACCUGGACGGAGGGGGUGGCAAGUGGUGUGGUGAUCACAGGGACGUGGUAUGUGAUUGAGGGAGAGGGCCGGCUGGCAUGACUGGAAGACAAGACAGUUUCUUUCAUACCGAGAAGUAUGGACACUUACCAGGAGGCUUACCUAGAGUAGGAGAAGACCUUCCACCUCGCUCAGGAGUGGGGAGUCUUUCAUCUUUUUGGGGGGCAUUUCUAUCCUCCCAGCCCCUCCAGCUGUUCUGGAAGCCCCAGCUUUGUGCUUCCAGCUACCAUCGAGGAUCCAUCCCACACUAGGAGAAGCAAAGACUGAUGCUGGAGCCUCUCCCCGCUGUCGCCAGCUAGCCCACUCCAGCAUUUCCCCUCCCUGCAGGCCCGUUCUGCGUACAGCAGGAGAUUAUAUGCAUAGAAACAGGAGACACACGGCCGAUGUUGGAAGGGGUGCUGUGUUACUGAGAUGCAGUACACAAAAGCAGGAGGCACUCAGCAGACGUUGCAAAGGGUGCUGUGUUACUUAGGUGCAGCACAGUACUGUGGGAAGGGCAGACACCAGGGUGAAUCCUGGCUCUGUGAUUUGGGCAGCUUAUGUCAUCACCCUGAGCCUCAGGUUUUUCAUCUGUAAAUGAGGAUGAGAAUACCUCCCUCACAGAGUAUAUGUGACAUGAUUAGAAAAUGCCUAGCCAAAAAAUAAUAAAAAAUUUAAAAAAUAGAAAAUACCUAGCCA